UACGUAGGUGACAAGCGUUGUCCGGAAUUACUGGGCGUAAAGGGCUCGUAGGCGGCCAACUAAGUCAGACGUGAAAUCCCCAGGCUCAACCUGGGAACUGCGUCUGAUACUGGAUGGCUUGAAUCCGGGAGAGGGAUGCAGAAUUCCAGGUGUAGCGGUGAAAUGCGUAGAUAUCUGGAGGAAUACCGGUGGCGAAGGCGGCAUCCUGGACCGGCAUUGACGCUGAGGAGCGAAAGCCAGGGGAGCAAACGGG
This 253-nucleotide ribosomal RNA is filed under the name uncultured bacterium. RNAcentral's name for it is "partial 16S ribosomal RNA". It matches the Rfam family "Bacterial small subunit ribosomal RNA", at positions 524 to 776 of the family's 1533-position model. The record is from RNAcentral.